ACUGGUAUGAUCUCAUCAUAAUCCUAGAAUUAUUAUCUUAAUCUAUGGAGUUUAUCAUAAUUAUAAAAAUAUGAUACAGCAAAUGAUAAAACAUAAUAUCUCAUGAAUAAAAUAACUAAUGUCAUGCAAAUAAGCAAAAAAAAAUAUAGAAAAGUCCCUUCACAUCAUCCAUGCGAUUGGCUUGUAGGACACUAUUCUUUCAUCACCAUCUUAAAAUCUCCUACUGACCUAAAGUAUCUACAAUGAAUUGUAAAUAUUAAUAGGACUAUCAGUAUCUAAUACUGAGGUCAUUGUAUCAAAAAUUGAGAAGUUGCAAGGUGUUAUCAUAUAAUUAUUUUGCUCAGUAACCGAUUGCUUCUUCUUUUUCGACCUGUUCGGAUCAAGGGAUGCUAUAUAUUAAGGAUGGUUCCUCUUCCAAUGACUCUGCUUCCUACAGUAGAAGUACUUUGCCUGACUCUGAUCGAACUUGGACUUAGACUUUUAGGUCUGACUCUCAGUACUUUGCACCUUUUUAUUCUUCUUUUUCUUUCCUUUCUUAAAGGGAUGAUGCCCACCCAAAGAAAAUAUUCCUACUAUAUUUACCAUCUCCUUAUGGAGCUAGUGGUCUUUCUUAAAAGUCUGUAGCAACUCCAACAGAUCG
This 640-nucleotide long non-coding RNA is filed under the name Elaeis guineensis (African oil palm). RNAcentral's name for it is "long non-coding RNA (EGUI_LNC046324)". Lineage: Eukaryota; Viridiplantae; Streptophyta; Magnoliopsida; Arecales; Arecaceae. The record is from RNAcentral.